Long non-coding RNA from Eucalyptus grandis, 1048 nucleotides. RefSeq lists it as uncharacterized. The transcript has 3 exons. The record is from RefSeq and is a predicted model, not a curated record. NCBI's taxonomy places the organism in Eukaryota, Viridiplantae, Streptophyta, Magnoliopsida, Myrtales, Myrtaceae.
UUUUUUCCCCAUUGUCUUGGGUAAAGUUACUAUGUUGCAUAAACAGGAAAAGAUUUCUUGCUAUAAAUAGAUGCCAAAACUUAAUGAGAGUUCUUUCCCUUUCUACUGAUUUCUAAAAAGUUCCUAAGAGUGGUAGUGAAUAGAACGCAAUCCAUUUGGCGAAAGGUUGUGGUGUUGUUUUUGCUGCUCCUCUGCAUUCCAAAAGAAGGAUAGAAUUUAGUCAGAGUAAGGAAGGGCCUCCUUCCUAACAUGGGGUAAAUAAAAUGUAUUGGUCCAUAGAAUGGAAUUAUGGACAGUAGCGAAGGUGUUGUUGCUCUCUUUCUGAGUUCUCGAGCAUUUGCUGCUGAGGUCAUGUUGUUGAUUGCUUCAUGGUCCUUUUUCUCAGUAAUGAGCUAACAUAAGUCGAAAGUGAUUGAUUCAAUUAUCAAUCUGAUGUAUCUAUGUCUAUAAAGAUGUUGCUAUUUUAUCCAGUGUUCCAUGAACAUACCAAGUACUCUUCGGCUUUACUAAUGCCAUACCAUUUCUUAGCUAAUCGGACAAGUAGCUUAUCGCUCUUUGAAGAGAAGUCUAAACUGGAUGGCUCCAGAGCUCAUACAAUCCUCGAUGGCGAAUAAUUACAGCAUGGAUCUCGAUCGUACUGUCGACAUGUGGAGUUUGGGAUGUACUAUUAUCAAAACGAUUACUGGGAAACCUCCUCGGAGUAUGAGUGGGCUGAAGCUAUAUUUACGGUGAUGCAAAGUUCUCCAGCAAUACCUGAGAUGUUAUCUGCCGAGGGAAAGGAUUUCCUAUAGUGCUACUUUCGAAGACAGCCUGCGGAGAAGCCUUCUGCUGCUAUGCUACUUGAGCAUGCUUUCCUGCAAAUUUGAAGUUGCAGAUGACUGACUUAUUUCAAGUGCCGUAUGUUAUCACAAAAGGGAUGUUGUCCUGUGAAGUUCCAUAUUUACUAAACCAAAAGAAUCACACGGUCCAUAGAUGUGAUGAAGUACUUGUAUAUAGACAAAAUGAGACACAUGUUCCUCUUGCAUGGUUUGACUGGCAGCAUACCGAU